AUUGAACGCUGGCGGCAUGCCUAACACAUGCAAGUCGAACGGUAACAGGGAUCAGCUUGCUGAUUCGCUGACGAGUGGCGGACGGGUGAGUAAUGUCUGGGAAACUGCCUGAUGGAGGGGGAUAACUACUGGAAACGGUAGCUAAUACCGCAUAACGUCGCAAGACCAAAGAGGGGGACCUUCGGGCCUCUUGCCAUCGGAUGUGCCCAGAUGGGAUUAGCUAGUAGGUGGGGUAACGGCUCACCUAGGCGACGAUCCCUAGCUGGUCUGAGAGGAUGACCAGCCACACUGGAACUGAGACACGGUCCAGACUCCUACGGGAGGCAGCAGUGGGGAAUAUUGCACAAUGGGCGCAAGCCUGAUGCAGCCAUGCCGCGUGUAUGAAGAAGGCCUUCGGGUUGUAAAGUACUUUCAGCGGGGAGGAAGGGAGUAAAGUUAAUACCUUUGCUCAUUGACGUUACCCGCAGAAGAAGCACCGGCUAACUCCGUG
RNAcentral lists this ribosomal RNA (490 nucleotides) under uncultured bacterium. RNAcentral describes it as "partial 16S ribosomal RNA". It matches the Rfam family "Bacterial small subunit ribosomal RNA", at positions 30 to 507 of the family's 1533-position model. The record is from RNAcentral.